Molecule: ribosomal RNA, 253 nt
Filed under: uncultured bacterium
Lineage: Bacteria
Description: partial 16S ribosomal RNA
Rfam family: Bacterial small subunit ribosomal RNA
Source: RNAcentral
UACGAAGGGGGCUAGCGUUGUUCGGAAUUACUGGGCGUAAAGGGCGCGUAGGCGGCGUGUCAAGUCAGGCGUGAAAGCCCCGGGCUCAACCUGGGAACCGCGCUUGAGACUGGCAUGCUCGAGUUCGGGAGAGGAUGGUGGAAUUCCCAGUGUAGAGGUGAAAUUCGUAGAUAUUGGGAAGAACACCGAUGGCGAAGGCAGCCAUCUGGACCGACACUCACGCUGAGGCGCGAAAGCGUGGGGAGCAAACAGG